GACGAACGCUGGCGGCGUGCCUAAUACAUGCAAGUAGUACGCUGAAGGAGGAGCUUGCUCUUCUGGAUGAGUUGCGAACGGGUGAGUAACGCGUAGGUAACCUGCCUGGUAGCGGGGGAUAACUAUUGGAAACGAUAGCUAAUACCGCAUAACAGUAGAUGUUGCAUGACAUUUGCUUAAAAGGUGCAAUUGCACCACUACCAGAUGGACCUGCGUUGUAUUAGCUAGUUGGUGGGGUAACGGCUCACCAAGGCGACGAUACAUAGCCGACCUGAGAGGGUGAUCGGCCACACUGGGACUGAGACACGGCCCAGACUCCUACGGGAGGCAGCAGUAGGGAAUCUUCGGCAAUGGACGGAAGUCUGACCGAGCAACGCCGCGUGAGUGAAGAAGGUUUUCGGAUCGUAAAGCUCUGUUGUAAGAGAAGAACGAGUGUGAGAGUGGAAAGUUCACACUGUGACGGUAUCUUACCAGAAAGGGACGGCUAACUACGUG
RNAcentral lists this ribosomal RNA (495 nucleotides) under uncultured bacterium. RNAcentral describes it as "partial 16S ribosomal RNA". It matches the Rfam family "Bacterial small subunit ribosomal RNA", at positions 28 to 507 of the family's 1533-position model. The record is from RNAcentral.